CAGACAAACUCAAAUGUCAAUUGGAUCCAUUGAAGACGAAAAUAAAGAAACAGAAACGACGAUAGAUAUGAGUGAGCAUGACACAGUGUGCAGACAAACACAAAUGUCAACUGGAUCCAAUGAAGACGAAAAUGAAGAAACAGAAACGACGAUAGAUAUGAGUGAAAAUGACAGGGGUAAAUCGGACCGAUCAAAACGAGAGAUGAAAAAAUUAACAGACGCCUUGUCGAAGAAUGACAGGCCAAGCAAACGCAAAAGACGAAAAAAUGCCAAAUGA
Long non-coding RNA from Dendronephthya gigantea, 277 nucleotides. RefSeq lists it as uncharacterized. NCBI's taxonomy places the organism in Eukaryota, Metazoa, Cnidaria, Anthozoa, Malacalcyonacea, Nephtheidae. The transcript is spliced from 3 exons. The record is from RefSeq and is a predicted model, not a curated record.